RNAcentral lists this unclassified non-coding RNA (425 nucleotides) under soil metagenome. RNAcentral's name for it is "partial contains 5.8S ribosomal RNA, internal transcribed spacer 2, and large subunit ribosomal RNA". The stretch from base 1 to 120 matches the Rfam family "5.8S ribosomal RNA", at positions 35 to 154 of the family's 154-position model. The record is from RNAcentral.
GAUGAAGAACGCAGCGAAAUGCGAUAAGUAGUGUGAAUUGCAGAAUUCCGUGAAUCAUCGAAUCUUUGAACGCACAUUGCGCCUUCUGGUAUUCCGGAAGGCAUGCCUGUUCGAGAGUCAUUAACAACCGUUUCGAUCCCUUUCUUUCAGAAAUUACAAAGAGGAAAAGGGUUUGGUUAUGGUGGAGGAGGGAAAGGGAGCGUUUAGCCUGUAAAAAAAGAGGCUGUGUUCCGCCUCCCCCCCAAAAUUGUACAGGCGGUCGUGUGCGCCCACGCAUCGAGGUGUUGUAAAAGCUGCCACGGCACUUUUCACCUGUGCAGUGCGAGAUUGGCCAGCAGGUUUAAAAACCCCUCCAAACAAUCAAAGGUUGACCUCGGAUCAGGUAGGGAUACCCGCUGAACUUAAGCAUAUCAAUAAGCGGAGGA